RNAcentral lists this transfer RNA (77 nucleotides) under Actinomycetota bacterium. RNAcentral describes it as "tRNA-Arg". It matches the Rfam family "tRNA". Rfam says of the family: Transfer RNA (tRNA) molecules are approximately 80 nucleotides in length. Lineage: Bacteria; Bacillati; Actinomycetota. The record is from RNAcentral.
GCGCCCGUAGCUCAGCUGGAUAGAGCACCGGACUUCUAAUCCGACGGCCGCAGGUUCGAGUCCUGCCGGGCGCGCCA